GCACCCUGAUCAGCCAUGCCGCGUGAGUGAAGAAGGCCUUCGGGUUGUAAAGCUCUUUCAGAUGCGAAGAUGAUGACGGUAACAUCAGAAGAAGCCCCGGCUAAUUUCGUGCCAGCAGCCGCGGUAAUACGAAAGGGGCUAGCGUUGUUCGGAUUUACUGGGCGUAAAGGGCACGCAGGCGGUCUUGCCAGUCAGGGGUGAAAGCCCGAGGCUCAACCUCGGAACUGCCUCUGAUACUGUAAGACUUGAGACUAGGAGAGGGUGGUGGAAUUCCCAGUGUAGAGGUGAAAUUCGUAGAUAUUGGGAGGAACACCAGAGGCGAAGGCGGCCACCUGGACUAGAUCUGACGCUCAGGUGCGAAAGCGUGGGGAGCAAACAGGAUUAGAUACCCUGGUAGUCCACGCCGUAAACGAUGAGUGCUAGUUGUCGGGACUUCGGUUUCGGUGACGCAGCUAACGCAUUAAGCACUCCGCCUGGGGAGUACGGUCGCAAGAUUAAAACUCA
Molecule: ribosomal RNA, 504 nt
Filed under: Thalassospira tepidiphila
Lineage: Bacteria; Pseudomonadati; Pseudomonadota; Alphaproteobacteria; Rhodospirillales; Thalassospiraceae
Description: bacterial SSU rRNA
Rfam family: Bacterial small subunit ribosomal RNA
Source: RNAcentral